RNAcentral lists this ribosomal RNA (605 nucleotides) under Brevibacterium sp. CMT29. RNAcentral's name for it is "bacterial SSU rRNA". It matches the Rfam family "Bacterial small subunit ribosomal RNA", at positions 271 to 885 of the family's 1533-position model. The record is from RNAcentral. Lineage: Bacteria; Bacillati; Actinomycetota; Actinomycetes; Micrococcales; Brevibacteriaceae.
AGACGACGACGGGUAGCCGGCCUGAGAGGGCGACCGGCCACACUGGGACUGAGACACGGCCCAGACUCCUACGGGAGGCAGCAGUGGGGAAUAUUGCACAAUGGGGGAAACCCUGAUGCAGCGACGCAGCGUGCGGGAUGACGGCCUUCGGGUUGUAAACCGCUUUCAGCAGGGAAGAAGCGCAAGUGACGGUACCUGCAGAAGAAGUACCGGCUAACUACGUGCCAGCAGCCGCGGUAAUACGUAGGGUACGAGCGUUGUCCGGAAUUAUUGGGCGUAAAGAGCUCGUAGGUGGUUGGUCACGUCUGCUGUGGAAACGCAACGCUUAACGUUGCGCGUGCAGUGGGUACGGGCUGACUAGAGUGCAGUAGGGGAGUCUGGAAUUCCUGGUGUAGCGGUGAAAUGCGCAGAUAUCAGGAGGAACACCGGUGGCGAAGGCGGGACUCUGGGCUGUAACUGACACUGAGGAGCGAAAGCAUGGGGAGCGAACAGGAUUAGAUACCCUGGUAGUCCAUGCCGUAAACGUUGGGCACUAGGUGUGGGGGGCAUUCCACGUUCUCCGCGCCGUAGCUAACGCAUUAAGUGCCCCGCCUGGGGGAGUACGG